Mauremys mutica (yellowpond turtle) is the source of this 274-nucleotide long non-coding RNA. RefSeq lists it as uncharacterized. NCBI's taxonomy places the organism in Eukaryota, Metazoa, Chordata, Testudines, Geoemydidae. The record is from RefSeq and is a predicted model, not a curated record. The transcript has 3 exons.
GUGGCUGGCUUGCAGACAAUGCGGGAGGGAUGGUGAAGAGGAAGUGUCCAUGUGGCUCCGUGUCGAUGUUAGAAAAGGCGAAAUGGAAGGAGUGUGCCUGACACUUGGAGCAGAAGGUGGGGAGAUUUGGGAUAGAUGGAGCUGUGCAGCAACAGAUCAUUACUCAGGAAAGAAUGCCAUGUGGCAAGUAGGAGAGGCCUGAAGUCAUUUCCCGAAUGGCCCCAGGAGACUUUGAAUAUUCCUUCAAAGCGGGUGAUGUCAUCAAAGGGACCAC